GGCUCAUUACAACAGCUAUUAUUUACUUGAUUUUGAUUCCAUACGUGGAUAACUGUGGUAAUUCUAGAGCUAAUACAUGCACCAAAGCUCCGACUUACGUUUUUUCUUAAACGACGAGCGCAUCUAUUAGAAUAAAACCAAUCGAGAUCAAGUUCUAACGUGUAUUGCGUAGAAGUUUGAUUCUCGUCGAUUUGGUGACUCUGAAUAGCUAAGCUGAUCGCAUGGUCUUGUACCGGCGACGUAUCAAUCAAGUAUCUGCCUUAUCAACUUUCGAUGGUAGUUUAUAUGACUACCAUGGUUGUAACGGGUAACGGAGAAUAAGGGUUCGACUCCGGAGAGGGAGCCUGAGAAACGGCUACCACUUCCAAGGAAGGCAGCAGGCGCGCAAAUUACCCACUCUCAGCAUAUAGGAGGAGGUAGUGACGAAAAAUAACGAGACCGUACUCGAUGAGGCCGGUUAUCGGAAUGGGUAAAAUUUAAACCCGUUAACGAGGAUCUAUGAGAGGGCAAGUCUGGUGCCAGCAGCCGCGGUAAUUCCAGCUCUCAAAGUGUAUAUCGGCAUUGCUGCGGUUAAAAAGCUCGUAGUUGGAUUUGAGCCUUACGACGUGGUGCAUUCAUUGAAUGUGAACUACGAUUUCGUAGGCUAAUUGAAAUGUUGGUUUUUCCUUGCGUCGCUCUGAACGGCAGCGUAAGGUGGCUGACGAGUUUACCUUGAAAAAAUUAGAGUGCUCAACGCGGGCUAGUACGCUUGAAUAUUAGUGCAUGGAAUAAUGGAAUAGGAUCUCGGUUCUAUUUUGUUGGUUUUCUGAUCUGAGAUAAUGGUUAAGAGGGACAGACGGGGGCAUUCGUAUCGCUGCGUGAGAGGUGAAAUUCUUGGACCGUAGCGAGACGUCCCACUGCGAAAGCAUUUGCCAAGAAUGUCUUCAUUAAUCAAGAACGAAAGUCAGAGGUUCGAAGGCGAUCAGAUACCGCCCUAGUUCUGACCGUAAACGAUACCAACUAGCGUUCCGUCAGCAGUAAUUACGCCUUGACGGGCAGCUUACCGGAAACGAAAGUUUAUCGGUUCCGGGGGAAGUAUGGUUGCAAAGCUGAAACUUAAAGAAAUUGACGGAAGGGCACCACCAGGAGUGGAGCCUGCGGCUUAAUUUGACUCAACACGGGAAAACUCACCUGGCCCGGACACCGUGAGGAUUGACAGAUUGAGAGCUCUUUCUUGAUUCGGUGGUUGGUGGUGCAUGGCCGUUCUUAGUUGGUGGAGUGAUUUGUCUGGUUUAUUCCGAUAACGAACGAGACUCUAGCCUACUAAAUAGUCGGCGAAUAAUUUGUACACACAAUGUGCAGUAAAAACUUUUCUUGUUAAAUAGCGAGAAUAAGUUAGUUUGUACGACUUCUUAGAGGGACAAGCGGUGUUCAGCCGCAUGAAGUAGAGCAAUAACAGGUCUGUGAUGCCCUUAGACGUCCAGGGCUGCACGCGCGCUACACUGGAGGAAUCAACGUGCCAUGUCCGUUGUCGAAAGGCAAUGGUAACCCAUUGAAAAUCCUCCGUGCUCGGAAUCGGGAAUUGCAAUUAUUUCCCUUGAACGAGGAAUUCCUAGUAAGUGUGAGUCAUCAGCUCACGCUGAUUACGUCCCUGCCCUUUGUACACACCGCCCGUCGCUGCCCGGGACUGAGCCGUUUCGAGAAAAGCGGGGACCGCUAUUAUCGAGUUAUGUAUGUGUGUGUAUGUAUGUCUGAAUGUGUGCAUUGCAUGUAUGCAUAAUUUUGUAGAUAAAUGGUAGAAACCGCCU
Molecule: ribosomal RNA, 1787 nt
Filed under: Philometra brevispicula
Lineage: Eukaryota; Metazoa; Nematoda; Chromadorea; Rhabditida; Philometridae
Description: SSU rRNA
Rfam family: Eukaryotic small subunit ribosomal RNA
Source: RNAcentral